AGUGGGGAAUUUUGCGNNNNNNGGGAAACCCUGACGCAGCAACGCCGCGUGAGUGAUGAAGGCUUUCGGGUCGUAAAGCUCUGUCAGAGGGGAAGAAACUCUUGUGGUCGAACAGGCCACAGGAUUGACGGUACCCUCAAAGGAAGCACCGGCUAACUCCGUGCCAGCAGCCGCGGUAAUACGGAGGGUGCGAGCGUUGUUCGGAAUUAUUGGGCGUAAAGCGCGUGCAGGCGGCCUGUUAAGUCUGAUGUGAAAGCCCGGGGCUCAACCCCGGAAGUGCAUUGGAUACUGGCAGGCUUGAGUACGGGAGAGGGAAGUGGAAUUCCGAGUGUAGGGGUGAAAUCCAUAGAUAUUCGGAGGAACACCGGUGGCGAAGGCGGCUUCCUGGACCGAUACUGACGCUGAGACGCGAAAGCGUGGGGAGCAAACAGGAUUAGAUACCCUGGUAGUCCACGCCGUAAACGAUGGGUACUAGGUGUUGCGGGUAUUGACCCCCUGCAGUGCCGAAGCUAACGCAUUAAGUACCCCGCCUGGGGAGUACGGCCGCAAGGCUA
This 554-nucleotide ribosomal RNA is filed under the name uncultured bacterium. RNAcentral describes it as "bacterial SSU rRNA". It matches the Rfam family "Bacterial small subunit ribosomal RNA", at positions 353 to 896 of the family's 1533-position model. The record is from RNAcentral.